RNAcentral lists this ribosomal RNA (229 nucleotides) under uncultured bacterium. RNAcentral describes it as "partial 16S ribosomal RNA". It matches the Rfam family "Bacterial small subunit ribosomal RNA", at positions 104 to 334 of the family's 1533-position model. The record is from RNAcentral.
CGGGGUGAGUAAUGCUUGGAAAUCUGGCCUAUGGAGGGGGAUAACUACGGGAAACUGUAGCUAAUACCGCGUAGUGUCGAGAGACGAAAGUGCGGGACCGAAAGGCCGCAUGCCAUGAGAUGAGCCCAAGUGGGAUUAGGUAGUUGGUGGGGUAAAGGCCUACCAAGCCUGCGAUCUCUAGCUGGUCUGAGAGGAUGGCCAGCCACACUGGAACUGAGACACGGUCCAG